UCCNCUAAAGUUAUUGCCAAGACAUUUCUCC
This 31-nucleotide non-coding RNA is filed under the name Mus musculus (house mouse). Lineage: Eukaryota; Metazoa; Chordata; Mammalia; Rodentia; Muridae. The record is from RNAcentral.